UCCUGUAUCAAUUUUGAAAAAGCUUGAGGAUAUCAGGCAACCAGAGGGAUCUGGUGUAACCCUUGAAUGUGAUCUCUCACGGCACAACGUGGACAUAAAGUGGACAAAGAAUGAUGUUCAGCUUAAACCGGGAAAAAAUCAUCGUAUUUACUCCAUGGGAAGAAAGUGCUUUCUACAGAUACUGAAGU
Molecule: long non-coding RNA, 188 nt
Organism: Sinocyclocheilus rhinocerous
Lineage: Eukaryota; Metazoa; Chordata; Actinopteri; Cypriniformes; Cyprinidae
Exons: 2
Source: RefSeq, a predicted model, not a curated record